This 320-nucleotide ribosomal RNA is filed under the name uncultured eukaryote. Its description in RNAcentral is "partial 18S ribosomal RNA". It matches the Rfam family "Eukaryotic small subunit ribosomal RNA", at positions 1470 to 1796 of the family's 1831-position model. The record is from RNAcentral.
CCCCUAGAUGUUCAGGGCCGCACGCGCGCUACACUGAACAGUUCAACAAGUCUUAACCUUGGCCGAUAGGUCUGGGUAAUCUUUGAACGCUGUUCGUGAUUGGGAUAGACCUUUGCAAUUAUGGGUCUUCAACGAGGAAUUCCUAGUAAACGCAAGUCAUCAGCUUGCAUUGAUUACGUCCCUGCCCUUUGUACACACCGCCCGUCGCACCUACCGAUUGAAUGGUCCGGUGAAAUCUCGGGACGGCGGCUUGGUCGCUUGCGUCCGACUGCUGAAACUUGAUUAAACCAUAUCAUUUAGAGGAAGGUGAANUCGUANCA